This 578-nucleotide ribosomal RNA is filed under the name uncultured bacterium. Its description in RNAcentral is "bacterial SSU rRNA". It matches the Rfam family "Bacterial small subunit ribosomal RNA", at positions 957 to 1533 of the family's 1533-position model. The record is from RNAcentral.
AUACGCGAAGAACCUCACCCAGGUUUGACAUGCAUGUGGUACCGAUCUGAAAGGUGAAGGACCCUUUCGGGGAGCAUGCACAGGUGUUGCACGGCCGUCGUCAGCUCGUGCCGUGAGGUGUUGGGUUAAGUCCCGCAACGAGCGCAACCCCUGUCGCCAGUUGUAUUUUUCUGGCGAGACUGCCGAGAAAACCUCGGAGGAAGGAGGGGACGAUGUCAGGUCAGCGUGGCCCUUACGCCUGGGGCUACACACACGCUACAAUGGGCAGUACAACGGGUCGCUAAGCCGCGAGGCGGAGCUAAUCCCAUCAAAGCUGUCCUCAGUUCGGAUUGCAGGCUGAAACCCGCCUGCAUGAAGCCGGAGUUGCUAGUAACCGCAGGUCAGCAUUACUGCGGUGAAUACGUUCCCGGGCCUUGUACACACCGCCCGUCACGUCAUGAAAGUUGGAAACACCUGAAGCCGGUGGGCUAACCGUAAGGAGGCAGCCGUCGAGGGUGGAGCCAGCGAUUGGGACGAAGUCGUAACAAGGUAGCCGUAGCGGAAGCUGCGGCUGGAACACCUCCUUCUAGACUGCAGAA